Molecule: non-coding RNA, 95 nt
Organism: Acanthosepion pharaonis
Lineage: Eukaryota; Metazoa; Mollusca; Cephalopoda; Sepiida; Sepiidae
Source: the annotation of a GenBank genome assembly
UUAAAACACUGAUUCCCAUAUGAUCACUGAAGUUAAGCAAUGUUGAGCUUGGUCAAUAGCUAGAUGGGUGACCGCUUGGGAAUACCAGUUGCUGU